GAUGAACGCUGGCGGCGUGCCUAAUACAUGCAAGUCGAGCGAACGGACGAGAAGCUUGCUUCUCUGAUGUUAGCGGCGGACGGGUGAGUAACACGUGGAUAACCUACCUAUAAGACUGGGAUAACUUCGGGAAACCGGAGCUAAUACCGGAUAAUAUUUUGAACCGCAUGGUUCAAAAGUGAAAGACGGUCUUGCUGUCACUUAUAGAUGGAUCCGCGCUGCAUUAGCUAGUUGGUAAGGUAACGGCUUACCAAGGCAACGACGCAUAGCCGACCUGAGAGGGUGAUCGGCCACACUGGAACUGAGACACGGUCCAGGCUCCUACGGGAGGCAGCAGUAGGGAAUCUUCCGCAAUGGGCGAAAGCCUGACGGAGCAGCGCCGCGUGAGUGAUGAAGGUCUUCGGAUCGUAAAACUCUGUUAUUAGGGAAGAACAUAUGUGUAAGUAACUGUGCACAUCUUGACGGUACCUAAUCAGAAAGCCACGGCUAACUACGUG
RNAcentral lists this ribosomal RNA (497 nucleotides) under uncultured bacterium. Its description in RNAcentral is "partial 16S ribosomal RNA". It matches the Rfam family "Bacterial small subunit ribosomal RNA", at positions 28 to 507 of the family's 1533-position model. The record is from RNAcentral.